This 253-nucleotide ribosomal RNA is filed under the name uncultured bacterium. Its description in RNAcentral is "partial 16S ribosomal RNA". It matches the Rfam family "Bacterial small subunit ribosomal RNA", at positions 524 to 776 of the family's 1533-position model. The record is from RNAcentral.
GACGAAGGAUGCAAGCGUUAUCCGGAUUCACUGGGUUUAAAGGGUGCGUAGGCGGGUAAGUAAGUCCGUGGUGAAAUCUCUGAGCUUAACUCAGAAACUGCCGUGGAUACUAUUUGCCUUGAAUAUUGUGGAGGUGAGCGGAAUAUGUCAUGUAGCGGUGAAAUGCUUAGAUAUGACAUAGAACACCAAUUGCGAAGGCAGCUCACUACACAAUCAUUGACGCUGAGGCACGAAAGCGUGGGGAUCAAACAGG